This 586-nucleotide ribosomal RNA is filed under the name uncultured bacterium. RNAcentral describes it as "partial 16S ribosomal RNA". It matches the Rfam family "Bacterial small subunit ribosomal RNA", at positions 355 to 1375 of the family's 1533-position model. The record is from RNAcentral.
UGGGGAAUUUUGGACAAUGGGCGAAAGCCUGAUCCAGCAAUGCCGCGUGUGUGAAGAAGGCCUUCGGGUUGUAAAGCACUUUUGUCCGGAAAGAAAUCCUUGGCUCUAAUACAGUCGGGGGAUGACGGUACCGGAAGAAUAAGCACCGGCUAACUACGUGCCAGCAGCCGCGGUAAUACGUAGGGUGCAAGCGUUAAUCGGAAUUACUGGGCGUAAAGCGUGCGCAGGCGGUUUGCUAAGACCGAUGUGAAAUCCCCGGGCUCAACCUGGGAACUGCAUUGGUGACUGGCAGGCUAGAGUAUGGCAGAGGGGGGUAGAAUUCCACGUGUAGCAGUGAAAUGCGUAGAGAUGUGGAGGAAUACCGAUGGUGAAGGCAGCCCCCUGGGCCAAUACUGACGCUCAUGCACGAAAGCGUGGGGAGCAAACAGGAUUAGAUACCCUGGUAGUCCACGCCCUAAACGAUGUCAACUAGUUGUUGGGGAUUCAUUUCCUUAGUAACGUAGCUAACGCGUGAAGUUGACCGCCUGGGGGAGUACGGUCGCAAGAUUAAAACUCAAAGGAAUUGACGGGGUCAUAGCUGUUUCCU